This is an RNA transcript of Toxotes jaculatrix (banded archerfish), 5370 nucleotides long. It is a transcript of the gene named aldehyde oxidase 3-like, with no coding region annotated. NCBI's taxonomy places the organism in Eukaryota, Metazoa, Chordata, Actinopteri, Toxotidae. The transcript is spliced from 7 exons. The record is from RefSeq and is a predicted model, not a curated record.
GAAGAAGAGUCGCUAACGAUGGCAGCUAUCUCAGAGUAACGGGUGGAUCACCUGCCUUCAGACCCGCUGCUGCACGUUCUGUCCUACCUGAGCUUCAGGGACCUGUUCCACUUUUUCUGAGAGACAAGCAUCAUAUUUCAUGGCAUCGCAUCUACAGUACAAACCAAGAUCAGGCUGAUGAAGUGAAGAUUAAUGUCACAUAAGGUUGGAGGUGGGCAUAUCUAGUCCUGCACAACAAAACUGGAUGGAUCACAUCAGAGGGAACAGGAAACAGAGCGAUGUUACACGUACAAAUAAAAAAAACCAAUGUUAUCCCAGAUGAUAAAACAUGCACAUAAUUGUAAUCAUUUUCUGCAUAAAAAGUCACCCAAAUGCCUGAACUGUGUAUACACAUCUGAAAACUGUUUUUUUAAACAUAUUUUUUUUUAGAAAAGGACAAAUGAAAUCCUUAACACAAAUACGUCUUGGAAGAAGAAAAACAGACAUAUUUUACACAAUACCAUCCAUUUUUUGGCUUUUUUGAAUGAAGUACUGGGUGUUUUAAUCUUGUAAAGACUUUUAGAGUAUUCAAAUGAAACAAUUCCCAAGCCAAAAAGGUCAACGUGAACCACUGUGUUAUAUUGUUGGGUCGUUUGAACAACAAAGAUAUUAUAUUAGCUUUUCAUCUGUUUUAUUUUCAAAGUAUCAGAGCAGUAUUUGAGAGCUCGACUUAAAUGCAACAGCGUCUUUUAUUUUGAAAGGGUCUGGAGUCGGAAGUGUUGCAGGUGUUGUUGAACCCGGUUGCGGCACUUCAAAGAUGUCUGCCGGCAAGGAGACGCUUUAUGCUUCUUUAUCAAAUCUUCUUUAUCAACGGAAAAAAAGAUUGAAGGAGCGUUCAUGCAGGGUUUGGGUCUCUACACUGUGGAAGAGUUGAAGUUUUCCCCCUCGGGGCUCUUGUACACUCGAGGUCCAUCUCAGUAUAAGAUCCCUGCGGUGUGCGACGUGCCACUCGGAUUCAUCGUCUAUCUGCUGUCAGAUUUCCACAACCCCCAUGCUGUCUACUCUUCAAAGGGUAUUGGAGAACCCGUCCUCUUCCUGGGCAGUUCAGUGUUCUUCGCCAUCAAAGAUGCUGUGGCUGAUGUUCUGACUCAAUGAUCACACAUGGAUGCACCACGGGGUCGCAGUCCCAUCCGUCGGAGAUGAAGCCUGCAAGAGCGACAGGAAAGGCUGCUGAUCAGAUGUUUGCCAGGCAGAGGAUAGGAGAAAGAAAGCCAAAUUCAGGAUUUCAGUAAUCAAGUAAUCAGUUAAUAUGUCUUUUUAUGUUUUUUUAUGAUGUGUUAUUUUAUGUCUGACAUUGAUUUAUACAGAAAUGAAAUGUCAUUAGUAGUUGACGAAGUAGUUAAGAAAUUACAUUUAACUCAAAAGCUCCUGAAACUGUUAGACCAAAAAUGUGAGUUGAUGGUGGUGUUGUACAUGUACCUGUCCAAUGUCCAAAGCAGACAUCCAUCACGGUGUCGGUGCUAAUGUUCUGCAAAACAAAACAGGAUUCGCUUUGCUAUCAGAGGGCUGGUGAGCGGCAGAGGAGGUAAGGCAGAAGCAAAUGGCCAGUAGGUUUGUGGAUUCAACAAGUAAUCACUUAAUAUGUGUUUUUUAUGGUGUCUUAUUUUAUGUCUGACAUCCAGUGUCCAUAGAGCAAUUCAUACUUCUUCCGACAUCCAUCACGAUGUCCGUCCCAAUGUUCUGCCAAACAAAACACAAUUGUCUUUUCUAUUCAAAUACAAGAUGUAUCUGUAUUAUAUCUCAUUUUAUAUAUUUAAUAAUAUGCAUGUAAAACAUGUCUUAUCCUAUUCUAAUGGCUGUUUGAAGGCAACUGGACUUCUUGCUUGAAGCUUGAAGAUGUUUCACCUCUCAUCUGAGAAACAUCUUCAGUUCUGGAGACUGGUUAGACAGUCCAGGCUUUUAAACUCCUCCCUAUCUCACCUAGUGGGUGCUACCUCUGGGAGCAAUAGAUACCACUGAGUGGAACGUUCACGGCUUGAGUGGCUCCCGCUGGGCUGUCUCAAGUGGAGUCGUUAGCACCUGAGGAUACUUAGGUGAGCGCAGAAACUAAGCAUCACGUGAGUCGCUAGAGUCACGUGAGCCCAGAUGUGAAUGUGUUAGUCGUUUGGGGAGGGAUCUCAAAAAUUGCGUCAUAGAUAGGUGGCAGCUGGUGUCUUAGACCGCCCCCUCUAUCCAGUGAUGGAUGUUCUAGUUUGACAUGGAUGGCCUCCUUAACUCUUCUCUCAAACCAUCUAUGUUCCCGGUCCAGAAUGGGGACAUCGCUCUCUUCAGAGGAGUGUCCUCUCUCCUUGAAAUGCAGGUGAAGGGCCGGGGUUUGACCGGAGGAGUGAGCUCGUCUGUGCUGGGUCAUGCGUUUGUGGAGCGGCUGUUUAGUCUCCCCUGUGUACAGGUGGGAGCGCCGCUCGCUGACUUAGACCGCACAGACGACAUGGCUUAGUUGGUUUUUGGGAGUUUUGUCUUUGAGGUGUAGCUGUUUCUGUCUCAGAGUGUUACAGGGUCUGAAAUGAACUGGAAUGUUGUGUUUGGAGAAAAUCCUCCUCAGUUUCUCUGACACUCCAACAAGUUGUGGUUUGUGGUGUCCUCCCCGUUGGUGGUGUAGGGUUCUGGUUUGUGUUUGUGGUUUCUGGUUAGUGUGUGUCGGUUUGCGGUUUCUGUCUGUAAAAGCCGUCGUUGUUGUUGAAGUAGGUCGUGGUGAGGCAGAGGUCUAAAAGAGUGCAGAUCUGGUCCGGUGUGAGACUGGUACGGUCGUUGAGGGAGUGUCAGAGAAAGUCUGUGCGGUCAAAGUCAGCCUGCAGUGCUCCCAUCUAUAUAUAGGGGAGACUAAGCAGCCGCUCCACAAACGCAUGGCUCAGCAUAGACGAGCUCACUCCUCCGGUUAGAACUCAGCCGCUCACUUGCAUCUCAAGGAGAAAGGACACUCCUUUGAGGACAGUGAUGUCUGCAUUUUGGACCGGGAACAUAGAUGGUUUGAGAGAAGAGUUAAGGAGGCCAUCCGUGUCAAAAUAGAACAUCCGUCACUGAAUACAGGGGGUGGUCUACGGCACCAGCUGUCACCUAUCUAUGACGCAGUUUUGAGAUCCCUCCCCAAGCGACUAACACAUUCACAUCUGGGCUCACGUGACUGUAACGACUCACAUGAUGCUUAGUUUCUGCGCUCACCUGAGUAUCCUCAGGUGCUAACGACUCCACUUGAGGCAGCCCAGCAGGAGCCACUCAAGGUGUGAACGUUCCACUCAGUGCUUUCUAUUGCUCCCAGAGGUAGCACCCACUAGGUGAGAUAGGGAGGAGUUUAAAAGUUUGGACUCUAACCAGUCUCCAGAACUGAAGAAGCUUCUCGGAUGAGAGGUCAAACGUCUUCAAGCUUCAAGCAAGAAGUCCAGUUGCCUUCAAUCAACCUUUAGGAUACAAUGACCUGUAACACACACACACACAGUACAUUCAACACACACGCUUAACUUUAUAGUAAGAAAAUAUAAAACAAACAGAGAGAGAUACAGAACAGCAAAGUCUCUUCAUCACCCUCUUGCUGUCUGUUUAAAGCUACCUCAGACUCUACUAGUUAUCCUGCUAUCUCUUCUCUCUUUCUCUCCUCAGACCCACUCUCAUAUUUAUUAACCUUUAUUACAUGCCAUUAACUCUGUGUCCUCUCUCUCCCGUAGUCCUGUGCUUGUCUCUCUCUGGUCUCUCUUUCUCUGUACCGUCUGCAGGUGUCUCUGGCUCCGGAGCUGCAUGUUCUCUGUCCGCGGUCCUGGCUCCACCGACCUGCCGCCAUUUAUUGUCUACAGCUAUCCAUUUUGAACACAUUAUUAUGUUUAAUGCAUCAACACUUGACGCAAAGCAGAAGCAGAGGAGGCAAGGCAGAAGAAGAGGAGGCAAGGCAGAAGCAGAUUUGGAGAACAUAUUUAAAAAAAAAAAAAAAAAAAAAAACGUUGUAUGCUCAUUCUUCAAGUAAAGUCAUUACUUUUAUUUAAUCAUUUUAAUAAGUGUAUCGGUCCUAUUAGUCGAAGACAGCGGCCAUUUUGUAAAAUAUGGCAGCAGUGGAAUUUAUUAAAGUCAUAUUAGAAGGCUUUUUUUUCUCUGCCACAAUUUUUCAACUACUUUUAUUUUCUUUCUUUAUAAAUUAAUUACAGUACACUGAAUAAUUUUGUAGUUUGGCAUAUUGGUUAGACAAAAGAAGCAAUUUAAAGGUGAACGUUUUUCUUUUUACACAGUAAACAAUUACUCAAUAAAGAAAUUAUCGGUAAUGAAAAUACUCAUUAGUUAAUGUAAUAAUAUAUAAUAUUAACUUGUAUCUAUCAAGUACUUUCUUGAUACUUACAUACUAAUGAUGGUUACACAUUUUUUAAGUGAUAGUUUCCAUGCAGUGGUGGAUUAUAUUUAUGUUGUAUUCUUACUCCAAAGGUUAGUAGUAGUUUUAAUUUUAGUUAAUUAAUUUAAGCAGUAAGUAACAACAAUAAUUUACAUGCAACAAAUACUUACAUGCUUCUAAAUGAAUUUCAGUCAGAUCUUACAUUUUGUAUUAAUCCUUUUCAUGCAUUUCCUCUUGAUUUUCUUCCUGUCUUUCUGUUUCCUCCUUUUUUCCAUCUCAGAUUGAAGGAGCGUUCAUGCAGGGUUUGGGUCUCUACACUCUAGAUGAUCACACAUGGAUGCACCACGGGGUCGCAGUCCCAUCCGUCGGAGAUGAAGCCUGCAAGAGCGACAGGAAAGGCUGCUGAUCAGAUGUUUGCCAGGCAGAGGAUAGGAGAAAGAAAGCCAAAUUCAGGAUUUCAGUAAUCAAGUAAUCAGUUAAUAUGUCUUUUUAUGUUUUUUUAUGAUGUGUUAUUUUAUGUCUGACAUUGAUUUAUACAGAAAUGAAAUGUCAUUAGUAGUUGACGAAGUAGUUAAGAAAUUACAUUUAACUCAAAAGCUCCUGAAACUGUUAGACCAAAAAUGUGAGUUGAUGGUGUUGUACAUGUACCUGUCCAAUGUCCAAAGCAGACAUCCAUCACGGUGUCGGUGCUAAUGUUCUGCAAAACAAAACAGGAUUCGCUUUGCUAUCAGAGGGAUGGUGAGCGGCAGAGGAGGUAAGGCAGAAGCAAAUGGCCAGUAGGUUUGUGGAUUCAACAAGUAAUCACUUAAUAUGUGUUUUUUAUGGUGUCUUAUUUUAUGUCUGACAUCCAGUGUCCAAAGCACAACUCAUACUUCUCCUGACAUCCAUCACGAUGUCCGUCCCAAUGUUCUGCCAAACAAAACACAAUUCUCUUUGCUAUUCAAAUACAAGAUGUAUCUGUAUUAUGUCUCAUUUUAUAUAUUUAAUAAUAUGCAUGUAAAACAUGUCUUAUCCUAUUCUAA